GCGGGGGUGUCAGAGCCUGGUCAAUGGAAAUGCGAAGCAGUGAAAUGCGAGAGCUCGACCUGCUCGCGAGAACGCGAGCUCGCGUUCAACUCUCUCGCUCGCUCAUCUACCUCGCAUUUCAGACCAAAUGAGCUAGCUUGAGGUGCUAGUCCCUUAGUGGGUGCGCGUGUUCGAAUCACGUCCCCCGCA
Molecule: transfer RNA, 189 nt
Filed under: Candidatus Woesearchaeota archaeon
Lineage: Archaea; Nanobdellati; Candidatus Woesearchaeota
Description: tRNA-Leu
Source: RNAcentral